AAUUUACAAUGGAGAGUUUGAUCCUGGCUCAGGAUGAACGCUAGCGGCAGGCUUAAUACAUG
This 62-nucleotide ribosomal RNA is filed under the name Dyadobacter luteus. Its description in RNAcentral is "Dyadobacter sp. RS19 partial 16S ribosomal RNA". The record is from RNAcentral. Lineage: Bacteria; Pseudomonadati; Bacteroidota; Cytophagia; Cytophagales; Spirosomataceae.